Molecule: long non-coding RNA, 1181 nt
Organism: Hylaeus anthracinus
Lineage: Eukaryota; Metazoa; Arthropoda; Insecta; Hymenoptera; Colletidae
Exons: 3
Source: RefSeq, a predicted model, not a curated record
AAAAUAGAUUUUUAAACUCCCCUCUGAAAAGAAAAAGCCAGUUACAGAGAACUCCCCCGUUCUCCCUCCACCCCCGAUCGGGAGAACAGUUGACGUCAAAGCGUUCGCGGAGUAAAGGAGCUUUGCUCCCCGCAUUUCAUAGCUCUCGAGACAUAAAAUGAAAAUAGGAAUCGCAUCGACCCGACUGACACUUCAUCGGCUGUUCGUUCAACCUAAUUAGCCGCCCAGGGUGGGGGGUUGAAUAAAAUUGUCGAAAAGCGACACUCGAAAUUAAUGGUCGACGCCCGACACCGACGGACGGGGCUGAGAAUAAUUUGAAUUAACCCUCGAACGCGCAUAAAUGCCUUUUAACGAGCACUUUGGCCACUCGAAGGACGAGGCCUGGCUACGGGAAAUUGCGUUGGAUUUAUUCAAUCGUGAAACUGACGAGACUGUUCUCCGUGCAGUUGUGCAAGGAUAUUCGAAGAAGCGAAAGGAAGGUAAUUCGCUUGUCCGACGACGAAAGUCGUCGUUUUCACGGCGAAGAAGUGAUCAACGCGACGGAUAUUCCGUUGUGCCGGGUGCCUAGCGACUUUAUAGCUAGCCACGAGGAAUAGGGAUAGUAGUGACACAGGACCAGGGGAAGUUUUGACGGUAUUGAUUUCCCCAAGCCCCGGGACCUCGUACCAUCUGCAACUCAAACAGCUUGCCUCGUUCUCCGUGCAGUUUGCGACUUUACUAUCCUUCGAUGGAGCGGUAAACCCGGAACGACAGUUUUGCCGGAACAUCGACGGGAGACGAUCCUAUAAAACCGAAGCUCGAAAUUGUUUUGAGACUUGGUGGAAUCAAAAUAAAGCCAUUCCGAUAUAUUCAGACCUGUACCGCCUACUAAAAAUCGGCAUGGACUUUCCAGACAGCCCAAUACAUAAAGGACUCCUAAAAAUGUGUUUUCAUCUAAAUUUCGAGACAUUAUUGAUUCCCAGCAGCGACAUGUCGAUUCCGUAAUAAUAGACUGAUUUAAAUGAUGUUACCAUCAAUCCGAGCUGAAGGAUCGUUAUUAAAUGAGCUUGGGAUAAAACACGGUAAUCCUGGACACAAUCGAAGUAUAUAUGAUACCCGGUGAAUAGCCGAUGGGCAUUACAUUUAAUAAAUACGUCUCCGUUACGGUGUAGAUUAUUCAGUAUUAUGGCGCACUACGGAUA